Molecule: ribosomal RNA, 465 nt
Filed under: uncultured bacterium
Lineage: Bacteria
Description: partial 16S ribosomal RNA
Rfam family: Bacterial small subunit ribosomal RNA
Source: RNAcentral
GACGAACGCUGGCGGCGUGCUUAACACAUGCAAGUCGUACGGUAAGGCCCUUUCUGGGGUACACGAGUGGCGAACGGGUGAGUAACACGUGAGUAACCUGCCCACAACUGAGGGAUAACGCUCGGAAACUAGCGCUAAUACUGGAUAGGUGCCCCUGCUGCAUGGUGGGGGGUGGUAAGCUCCGGGGGUUGGGGGGGGACUCGCGGCCUAUCUGGUUGUUUGUGGGGUAGGGGCCUACCUAGGCAGUGAAGGGUAGCCGGCCUGAGAGGGGGACCGGCCCAAUUGGGGCUGGGAUACGGCCCAGACUCCUACCGGAGGCAGGAGGUGGGGAUAUUGCACCAUGGGGGGAAGCCCGAAGCCGGCACGCCGGGGUGGGGAUGACGGCCUUCGGGUUGUAAACCGCCUUCAGCAGGGACGGAGCUUUUUGUGACGGUAACUGCAGAAGAAGCACCGGCUAACUACGUG